This 413-nucleotide long non-coding RNA is filed under the name Dasypus novemcinctus (nine-banded armadillo). RNAcentral's name for it is "lncRNA (ENSDNOG00000051738.1)". The record is from RNAcentral. Lineage: Eukaryota; Metazoa; Chordata; Mammalia; Cingulata; Dasypodidae.
CUCCAAUGGGAGCCAGGGAACCAUCGGUAGCGGGUGGAGGCCGGUAACCCUGCUCUCGCUACGGCGGGCCAGAGGGACGAGCCCAGAGUAUUUACAAGAUCCGGACGCUGGUCCUGGUAACGCUUCGCGUGCGGUAGCGACGGCGCUGUCCGGCUGGGCUGUUGGGUUAGCGGGUUGCGGACGAUAGUGCUGGUAGCUAAGCGAGGACGAGUGCUCCUGCGUGCCCCAGACGGCAACCGAGUGAGUACUCUGCGGAGCCCACGGUCAGUGCCCCCCUUCCGCGGCCCCAGUUAUCGUAUCUGUGUGUUUGUCUUUCUCUGUCUGCCUCCGUCUCCAUUUUUCUGUCUGUCUCGGUCUCUGAAACAGCGCGGACCUAGGAGGUUGACUCCUGACCCGAUCACUUAAAACUAGCC